This 745-nucleotide ribosomal RNA is filed under the name uncultured bacterium. RNAcentral's name for it is "bacterial SSU rRNA". It matches the Rfam family "Bacterial small subunit ribosomal RNA", at positions 45 to 806 of the family's 1533-position model. The record is from RNAcentral.
CGAACGAAGCACAGAUGUAGAAUUUCUUCGGAAAGGAAGCGCCUGUGACUGAGUGGCGGACGGGUGAGUAACGCGUGGGCAACCUGCCCCAUACCGGGGGACAACAGCUGGAAACGGCUGCUAAUACCGCAUACGUUUUCGGUGCCGCAUGGCGCCGAAAAGAAAACUCCGGUGGUAUGGGAUGGGCCCGCGUCUGAUUAGCUAGUUGGGAGGGUAACGGCCUACCAAGGCGACGAUCAGUAGCCGGCCUGAGAGGGCGACCGGCCACAUUGGGACUGAGACACGGCCCAGACUCCUGCGGGAGGCAGCAGUGGGGAAUAUUGCACAAUGGGGGAAACCCUGAUGCAGCGACGCCGCGUGAGCGAAGAAGUGCCUCGGUAUGUAAAGCUCUAUCAGCAGGGAAGAAAGUGACAGUACCUGACUAAGAAGCCCCGGCUAACUACGUGCCAGCAGCCGCGGUAAUACGUAGGGGGCAAGCGUUAUCCGGAUUCACUGGGCGUAAAGGGAGCGCAGGCGGCGCGGCAAGUCUGAUGUGAAAGCCCGGGGCUCAACCCCGGGUCUGCAUUGGAAACUGUCGAGCUGGAGUGUCGGAGGGGUAAGCGGAAUUCCUAGUGUAGCGGUGAAAUGCGUAGAUAUUAGGAGGAACACCAGUGGCGAAGGCGGCUUACUGGACGAUGACUGACGUUGAGGCUCGAAAGCGUGGGGAGCAAAAAAGAUUAGAUACCCUGGUAGUCCACGCCGUAAA